This 350-nucleotide unclassified non-coding RNA is filed under the name soil metagenome. Its description in RNAcentral is "partial contains 5.8S ribosomal RNA, internal transcribed spacer 2, and large subunit ribosomal RNA". The stretch from base 1 to 120 matches the Rfam family "5.8S ribosomal RNA", at positions 35 to 154 of the family's 154-position model. The record is from RNAcentral.
GAUGAAGAACGUAGCGAAAUGCGAUAAGUAGUGUGAAUUGCAGAAUUCAGUGAAUCAUCGAAUCUUUGAACGCGCAUUGCGCCCGCCAGUAUUCUGGCGGGCAUGCCUGUUCGAGCGUCAUUUCAACCCUCAAGCCCAGCUUGGUGUUGGGGAUCGGCACAGGCGCCCUCGGGCGCCAGCCGUCCCCUAAAUCUAGUGGCGGUCCCGCUGCAGCCUCCUCUGCGUAGUAGUUUUCUCCUCGCAAGGGCAGCUCGGUGGCGACCUCGCCGUAAAACCCCCAACUUCUGAAAGGUUGACCUCGAAUCAGGUAGGAAUACCCGCUGAACUUAAGCAUAUCAAUAAGCGGAGGA